UCCAUGUCUCCGUGAGUUGCAGAUACUGUGUGAUCACGGCUGCGCAUUUUGUCAGUGAGCCAAUCAACCUUACGCCUGGUGUUAACAAAGAUGACACUCUGGGUGAUGGCUAAGGUCUCGUAAAGAUCGCAAAGAGUUUCAAGCUUCCACUCUUCCUUAUCAACAUUGACAUAAAAUUGCUUGAUACCUUCAAGCGUAAGCUCAUCACGCUUCACAAGAAUCCUAACAGGCUUGUUCAUGAACUUCCUAGUAAUUUCAAGGGCUUCUGGCGGCAUAGUGGCAGAGAAAACACCCACUUGAAUCUUUGGUGGCAGCAGUUGAAAAAUAUCAUAAAUCUGGAAAUAAUAAAAUCAAAGACACUGUUUGUGAGCCUUGGGAGCAUAAAUCAGCUUAUAGGUUAGGCCCACAGGAGAUACUAUAGGAAAUAAGGGAAAAAGAACCAGCAAAGUCCUGCAGAGAUUCUAAAAGACAUUAAAGCAUAAUAAGGCUAAUAAUGACAAGAAUAGAACUCCCAUAGAGAAGCUAAUAACACAUAUGCAGAAAUCUUUCCGGAACCUAGCAUACGACUAAGAAAAGAAGCAUAUAAAUACUUACUUUGUCCCCCAACCCCAAAAAAGAAAAUCACAUCCCCAUUUUUGUGCACUACCAAUACAGAAACCUAAUAAAUAAGAAAAAUCCACCUGAAUGACAGAAAAAGAAAUAAAGCAGGAAAUGAAAGGAGAAAACAGUAACCUGAUCCUUGAAACCUCUUGAGAGCAUUUCAUCAGCUUCAUCCAGAACAAACAUCUUGAUGUGGUCAGGGCGAAGAGACUGCCUGCGCAACAUGUCAAAGACACGGCCAGGAGUACCAACCACCACAUGAACACCACUUUGAAGGAUACGCUGAUCCUCACGGACACUGGUACCUCCUACACAAGCAUGAACCUUCACACCGAGAUAAUCACCAAGUGCUCGCAUAACCUUCUCAAUCUGUUGGGCAAGCUCACGGGUUGGAGCCAGAACCAGAGCCUGACAUUCGACUAAGCUGUAAUCGAGCUGCUGGAGAACUCCAGAGCAGAAAGUUGCUGUCUUUCCGGUUCCAGAUUGUGCCUGUUGGAUCACAUCAAGACCCUUGCAAAAUGGAACAAUACCCCUUUGCUGGAUAGCAGAUGGCUUCUCAAAACCUUCAAGCAAAUUAAGCCAGGUGUUAAAUGCCCUGCUAAAUCUAACGAUGGAGAAGGAAAAUCGCAUGUGCUAUUAAGAGGUGCAUUUACCAUAAGCAUAGAUGCCCCUAAGAAGGUUUUCUUGCAAACCCAUGGCAUCAAAACUGUCAUAAACCUCAUCAUAUGAUGUGAAGAACUCCUCCUGCUCAGUCCCAAGCCUGUUUCAGCAUGUCAAAACAUCCAGAAAAUUGAAAAAUUAAAUGAGCAAGCAAAGACAAGGAACACAACAUAGUCGCAAGUGAUAGCUAAAGAAAGGACGAAAAUAAAACGCAAGUGUAGUUUUCUGCAACCAGAUUAAUAUCCUAUUGGUAGAGAAUUGAGAGCAAGCAACUUACAGCUCAGUCAUUUUGGCAUCAUACUGACGAGCAUCAAAUUGAGAACCUUCCGGUGCCAAGCCAGCCAUGACUGUAGAAAAUAAAAGAACUAUGGUAUUACUUUAAUGGAAAUUCAUUAAACAAUCUUGAACUUAAUAAAGAGGAAAAGCCAAAACCUUACUGCUGAAAUAUCACAUUUUCCAAUACUAGCACUAGCGAUAAUAUUAUCUGUUCUUCCUCUCGAAUAUUGAAAGGGGUGGAGGGCACGACAGAAUGUAUGUUUUCUUUCUUUAUGAAGAAGCACAAAGCACAUAAAGAGGAGAUACACAUGAAAAAAGUUGUUUGAACAUACAGACUAAAUUGCAGCCAACUGCCAGCCAACCUUUCCACAUGUAAUAGGUUUCCAACUAUCCAGUUUUUCCAAUGAGCAAAUACAUUCAGAACUGAGAGAACAUCUAAGAAAACACCCAUUACUUAAAAUCAAAUUAAUGAUAGUCUCAUCCCAUAAGUAUCUCAACAUACAAAUCCAAGGUCCAAAUGACCACCAUUCACAUUCCUUUCAAAAUAUAAUCCUUUUGCACAAUACUUUACAAAAAGGUUCUUUAAUCUAAAUACAAGCACUAUGAGAAUGAAAUAGCUGAUGUUACAAACAGAUAAUAAACAAAGACGAUACUUUUACAAUCAAGAAUAUCACAUCAAUCAGAUCUCUAUCCAAAGUAGUCAAAAAAUAUCACACAUACAGAAACAGCUACAUAACCCAAAACCCAGCUGUAGAAACCAAUUCAGACCGACAACCAAUCAUCAAGAUACAAAAACGAAGAUUAUAUCAUAGAAAAAAGGGAGAAAAAAACAUAGCUAACCUGAUAGAGACGAGGAAAAGAUCUGAGGAAUAGCAAACAGAGAGUUGAAAGGAAAAGUGGGUAAAAGCGAUUGGAGAGUUAGGGUUUGCAAAGACUGCUGUUUUUGUCUGAAACUCCUCGGAUCUACGCCGCAGGAGUUCAGAGGAAAAGAGAAUAGAAAGAUUAGACUCUUGCGUUGUGUUAUGUGUUUUUUUUUUAUGGUUUUUUUGUAAUUGUGUUCUUUUAUGGAAUUGUAUUUACUAUUUUCUGUAACAUCUUGUUUUGUCUUUUAUUUUUUGAAAUUCCUAUUUUGACCCGAGAAUGGGGUGGAUUCUACAAAAUUGAGGGCUAGAUUUUUUAUUGGGCUGCUUGGGCCAAAUUUAGGUGAGUUACUUUAUCUAUACUAUAUUAAAAGUAGGAAAACUCUUAUCGAAAUGUCAAUUGCUUUUUUUAUCCUUUAAAACAUAAUUUUACAUCGGAUAAUCUUGUUAUUUAGCGCUUCUCCAAAUAUUUAGGACAUUAAAAUCAAAUAAAAUUUAAUUUAUUAAAUUUUUCCUUAUUUAAAUUAGGCCUUUAAAAUCAAUUAAAAGAUUUUCUUAUUCUAAUAAAAAGAGAAAUAGAAAACUUUAAAAACUUACCUAACGUUAAUUAGGUAAACAUGGAAACUUGAAAAAUUCUAAUUUAUUGCAAUAUAAAUAACGACAAAAUUGAAUAGAGUUUCUUUAGUUAACUAUAAAUUCUAACAAUUUAUGAAGAUUAAAGUGGCAGAUCUCUUAUUUAAUUUAAAUAAGGUUAAAUUGGUUCUCUAAUAUCGGUAAAGCAAUAUCUUCCCAUUGCAAAUAACAAUAGUAAAACAUGUACAAGUUUAGGACUAAAAUUAUAUAUAUAUAUAUAUAUAUAUAUAUAUNNNNNNNNNNNNNNNNNNNNNNNNNNNNNNNNNNNNNNNNNNNNNNNNNNNNNNNNNNNNNNNNNNNNNNNNNNNNNNNNNNNNNNNNNNNNNNNNNNNNNNNNNNNNNNNNNNNNNNNNNNNNNNNNNNNNNNNNNNNNNNNNNNNNNNNNNNNNNNNNNNNNNNNNNNNNNNNNNNNNNNNNNNNNNNNNNNNNNNNNNNNNNNNNNNNNNNNNNNNNNNNNNNNNNNNNNNNNNNNNNNNNNNNNNNNNNNNNNNNNNNNNNNNNNNNNNNNNNNNNNNNNNNNNNNNNNNNNNNNNNNNNNNNNNNNNNNNNNNNNNNNNNNNNNNNNNNNNNNNNNNNNNNNNNNNNNNNNNNNNNNNNNNNNNNNNNNNNNNNNNGGUUUUUAAAAUUAUAUACCACCCACUUUAAAUAUGAUUUUAAGCAUCCAUUGUUUUGAUUAAAUUAUUGUUGUCCUUCUUUAGUUUUAUCAUAUUUCUUAAUUCAUGAAAAUUGAAAUUAUAUGUUAUUCUAUAGAUUAGUGUCAGUAUUUGUCCGUUAUUUUGUACAUAUUUUUUCAAGGUAACAGAAAGAUGGUUCUUGCUACGAAAGAGUGCCCAAUCAAGUGCCAUAAAAAUUUGAUUUUGGUAGCAAAAGAUAUUACCAUCAAAAUCAGUUUGUAUGUUAUACUCACGGGUAAUUUUUUAAAUUUUCAUUUAUCUUUUUGUAUUCUUAAAAGGAGUGAACUUAUUCUACUUAUGUUCUUAUUUUAACUUGACAUUAGUUUCAAGAGUAAUUUUCUUCUCAUUUGGAAAGGUGAAAUUAGAAUCUCAAUGCCAUAAGUUUACUCUCUUUUGGGGAUGGCAGAUAGAAUUGAUAAAAAAUUAGAAGAAAAAAAUUAAAAACUUGUUACUUGCAUGUUUCUUUGUAAAAUUCUAGGUGAGGAUUGUUCAGUCAAUGUGUUUCUAUAUUGAUUUUUUUAAUAAUUUAUUUAUAUUUGGUUUAGACCAAAUCUAAAGUCAGUGGGCAAAUAAGAUUAAAUUGUCAUUACAAUUAAUUUUCUUUUUAUUUUUGAUUGUUUAUACGUGUAUAUUUAUUUUUGAUUUGUUUUACAGUAAUUUGUUUAGGUUUUUCUUAUUUAAUUUAUAAUUUGUUUUAUAAUUUGUCUAGGUUUAGUUUAGAAUGCAUACCAAAGUCAUUGAGGAGUCCAAACCUUGUGGUCAUUAAGAAAUUCGUUAACUUUAAUUUGUUAAAACUGAAAUAACAAUGUAUUAUAUGGAAGCUCACAGAGCAAACUUUAAAUAACAAUAAAUCAUACGAGAAAAGAGAAAUAUAUAAAAAGAGAUACAAUAAUAUGAUUUGGUCACCUCACCUAUAUAUAUAUGAGCAAUUCACGAAAAAAAUAGUAUACAAACCUUUUCCUCCAAAAAAGGAAUAGCCAAAUAAAGAAUAGAUUUAUAUUUUUCUUUUAAGAAAGUAACAAGAGAAUUGUGGCAAAUAUUUGCCCAUGCUUCAAAGGAAAAAUAAAACUUAAAUAUAAUAAAUUAGGUCAGAAGCAACAACAUAACAUAGCAUUAUUUUAUACAAUAAAAUAUGUAUAAUUAUAAUUACUACUAAAUAACUAACUCAUUUCGUACAUGAAGAUUUAGAAAACAUGCAAUUACUUUGAACUCAUCUUGUCUUAACGUAAAGUAUUUAUUUUUUAUUCAAAAAAUUAUUGCAUAUAUCUCAACAUCAAUUGUUAUUUCACAUAAUUCAUUCUUAUUCUAUAUGAUGUAGGACUUUUUAAUAAUAGACGCAAAACACACGUGCAUCGCACGUACACUGAAACUAAUCAUAAUUAAAAGUAAGAAUUAACUUAAAUAGCGUCCACUCAACGGCUUAAAUUAUAAAUAGUUAUCGAGUAAAUAUAUAAUAUAUGUAUAAAAUAAUAUGCAACACCGUAUCCAACACCGCUUGGGCGGGAAAUUGUAAUAAAUAUACAUAUAAAUAAUAUGCAAAAUCAAUCGGAUAUAGAUAGUUUUAUGAGAGUGGUUGGUACAGUAGCUCAAAUUUUAGCCGCAUUUGUUUGUUUUAUAAAUAAAUAGGUAAAAAUCGAGCUUUGGACUUCCCCAUUAUUGUAACCAGUAAGCCGAAGGAGCUCUAAAGGUUAAUUGAGAGGGCAUCUAUCUAAAAAACAAAUGGUCAAGAGUACUCUUAAUACUCGUGUCAAUUGGUUUUUUGGCUCUUUACAAACUUAUUUUUAGUUUUAUGAACCUACUUCCUUUUUUUUCACAUGAUAAAUUUAUUUUUACACGUAAAAGAGCCGUCUUUUACACAUAAGAGAUCUAAAAAGGUCAUUUUCUUAAAUUCAAAAUUGUAAAGGGGCAUGAUGUACAAAUAGCACUCUCCCUCCAAUAGGUGCAUUGCAUAAAGAGCAAACCAUAUUGUCCAAACAACCCCAUAGUGCCAAACUUUCUUCCAUAUGCAGCUAGAUACAGAAUAUAAGCCCAUUUUUGUGAGGAAACAUUGUUACAAACCAAUCUCCUCCAAUACACCUUUUGAAAACCUCCUCUAAACUUCAGAUAUAUAUACCUGUUCUAUAAAGAACUGCUCAAUGUUCAACACAUCACCUUCUAGCCAGCCAGCUUCCCCAUAGUAUUUUCUAGCCUUCAAUAUUUUCUGAACUAGCCAUUAGGCCUGUUUGGGUAGUGCUUCCCAUAUUGUUUUCCAAAGAAAUUGUUAAAGUUUCCUUAAAGUUAGAGCAACUGGUUUCUGUUUCUUAUAUUAUAUGAUUUUCUUUAAUUAUUCUUCUUAGGUCAUAUAUUAUGGUAGGACGAAGACAGAUCCAAAAUUCAAACUGCAGAGCUCAAAAUUUACUAUUUAUAAUAUUUUUCAGAAUUAUUCACACAACACACAAAUAAUACAAGAAGAAAAUGACAGUUCUGAUCCGUCUAUCCUUAGAGAUCUCGGGUUCGAGCCAUGAAAUUGUAAACUCAUAGUAGGGACGCUUUACUCCUUUAGUGGUAUAAAUCCGGAUUAAUCAAGCCAAUGAGUUGUGGAUACUUGAUGGUUAAACCAAAAUAGAAAAUGAUAGGCUCAAUUGGAUGCAUGUUCAAAACUAUAUAAGUCUGCUGGGUAAUUAGGGAAGUCUAAUGGCCUUUUCUUUCCUUUUACAUGCUGGGAUAAUUAUCACACAACGUCCCCGACUCCAGAAACCACAUAGAGGGCAAUGGUUCCAGCAACUUAAUGCGGCAGCUUCUGUAAUUGUGGACGGAUCAGUAAUAAUCCUGGUCCUAUACUUGAGAUUGUACUUGUGAGUACAAAAUAAGUCUCAUUUUUUUUAACCACUAUAGGGUUCGAACCGUGGAAACAGCCUCUUGCAGAAAUGCAGAGUAAGGCUACGUACAAUAGACCCUUGUGGUCCGACCCUUCCCGAACCCCGCGCAUAGCAGGAGCUUAGUGCACCGGGCGGCCCUUUUACUCACUACACAUGUCAUACAAGAGGAGGGAGAGGACAUCCAUUGCACCAAUCCUGAAUUAAUGAUCACAUGGAAGCUAAUAAGUCUCAAAUACAAUAUACGUCAACACAUGCACCAUCUUCCAUUUACAAUGUCUCUCAAAUCAAAAGCAAACUACACAAAAGCACCACAAAGCGUGAAACUAUCACACAGUUCAAAUAAAACAAUUUGCCUCUAAAAGCUUCCUCAUACACAAUAACAAGGUCAAGAGUUAAAUCUCAAUAAAAUUUCAAAGAACAUCCAAAAACUGAAGUUAUUGUAGACUUACAAUACAAAAGGCAAACCGAUAAAAUUGAUAGUAGAUAGUCCAACCAAAGUUGAAGAUUUACAGGUUCCAUGGUGAAUCAUGGCACCUGCAUUUCCCAAUUCUAAACCCGGUAGAAUUCUAACUAACCUAAGAAUAAGAUAUUAAAUUACUUCAUGUAAGGAAGAAUUCACCUCACAUAACCAAAACAACCUCAAAGGAGAUCGGCCACAUUGGCUGGCAACUCCUCGAUGACAACAUUAUAAAACUUCUGAAUGUCAGAAAGCAUCCUUUCAUCAUCCUUUGUGACAAAGUUGAUAGCAACACCCUUCCUUCCAAAACGUCCACUACGACCAAUACGAUGCAGAUAGUUCUCUGGCUGAGUUGGAAGGUCGUAGUUAAUCACAAGGGAAACUUGCUGCACGUCAAUACCACGCGCCAGAAGAUCAGUGGUGAUGAGCACACGAGACGACCCAGAUCGGAACUCUCGCAUAAUGAUAUCUCUAGUAUUCUGGUCCAUGUCUCCGUGAGUUGCAGAUACUGUGUGAUCACGGCUGCGCAUUUUGUCAGUGAGCCAAUCAACCUUACGCCUGGUGUUAACAAAGAUGACACUCUGGGUGAUGGCUAAGGUCUCGUAAAGAUCGCAAAGAGUUUCAAGCUUCCACUCUUCCUUAUCAACAUUGACAUAAAAUUGCUUGAUACCUUCAAGCGUAAGCUCAUCACGCUUUACAAGAAUCCUCACAGGCUUGUUCAUGAACUUCCUAG
RNAcentral lists this long non-coding RNA (7751 nucleotides) under Nicotiana tabacum (common tobacco). Its description in RNAcentral is "long non-coding RNA (NTAB_LNC001143)". Lineage: Eukaryota; Viridiplantae; Streptophyta; Magnoliopsida; Solanales; Solanaceae. The record is from RNAcentral.